CGGCCGUUGCAGUCGGUGGAGACGGCGACGCCGAGGUUGGUCUCCUCGUCGAUCCGGAUCAUCCCGGAGUCGGCCGGC
RNAcentral lists this transfer RNA (78 nucleotides) under uncultured Nocardioides sp. Its description in RNAcentral is "tRNA-Thr". The record is from RNAcentral. Lineage: Bacteria; Bacillati; Actinomycetota; Actinomycetes; Propionibacteriales; Nocardioidaceae.